This 494-nucleotide ribosomal RNA is filed under the name uncultured bacterium. RNAcentral describes it as "bacterial SSU rRNA". It matches the Rfam family "Bacterial small subunit ribosomal RNA", at positions 17 to 507 of the family's 1533-position model. The record is from RNAcentral.
UCCUGGCUCAGAUUGAACGCUGGCGGCAUGCCUUACACAUGCAAGUCGAACGGCAGCACGGACUUCGGUCUGGUGGCGAGUGGCGAACGGGUGAGUAAUGUAUCGGAACGUACCUUUCAGUGGGGAUAACGUAGCGAAAGUUACGCUAAUACCGCAUAUUCUGUGAGCAGGAAAGCAGGGGAUCGCAAGACCUUGCGCUGAUUGAGCGGCCGAUAUCAGAUUAGCUAGUUGGUGGGGUAAAGGCCUACCAAGGCUACGAUCUGUAGCGGGUCUGAGAGGAUGAUCCGCCACACUGGAACUGAGACACGGUCCAGACUCCUACGGGAGGCAGCAGUGGGGAAUUUUGGACAAUGGGGGCAACCCUGAUCCAGCCAUGCCGCGUGAGUGAAGAAGGCCUUCGGGUUGUAAAGCUCUUUCGGCCGGGAAGAAAUCGCAUAGGCUAAUACCCUGUGUGGAUGACGGUACCGGAAUAAGAAGCACCGGCUAACUACGUG